RNAcentral lists this ribosomal RNA (253 nucleotides) under uncultured bacterium. RNAcentral describes it as "partial 16S ribosomal RNA". It matches the Rfam family "Bacterial small subunit ribosomal RNA", at positions 524 to 776 of the family's 1533-position model. The record is from RNAcentral.
UACGUAGGGUGCGAGCGUUGUCCGGAAUUAUUGGGCGUAAAGAGCUCGUAGGCGGUGUGUCGCGUCGGCCGUGAAAACCUGGGGCUUAACUGCGGGCUUGCGGUCGAUACGGGCGGGCUGGAGUUCGGUAGGGGAGACUGGAAUUCCUGGUGUAGCGGUGAAAUGCGCAGAUAUCAGGAGGAACACCGGUGGCGAAGGCGGGUCUCUGGGCCGAUACUGACGCUGAGGAGCGAAAGCGUGGGGAGCGAACAGG